AUGUUGUGCUUUUGCUCCUAGCUAAGCUCUCCUCGUCUUCUUCUUCUUCUUCUUCUUCUUCUCAUCUACAACUACCUCUCCCUCACUUUUGCAUUGCCUCCAAGAAGCCAUAUUAAAGGAUCCUACGACUCCUUCCUCUCCCUCCUGCUCCUCCUCUUCUCAUCUCCUUCACUUCUGCUUCUGCAUGAAACCAAGAAAAAAAAACUAGUUGCUUACUUGCUUUGCAUAGUUAGCUAGCUGUUGUGUUUCUCUGAUCCCAUGUCCUCAUGAACUCUUGUUUGAUCCUAGUGAGGUGAGAGUACUUGAGAGGGAGUGUAUUGAUUGGAUUGCUGUUUUUAUCUCUGAUGAUUUGCCUUGUUUUGCUGAUCUGAAUGCUGAUCGUUGGGGGAUUGUUCUGCUCUCUAUGUGGGAACGGGAUAUUGGUGCGGUUCAAUCAGAAAGCUUGUGCUCCGAAGGCGAGGGGCUCCACUCUUUGAUUGAGCCGUGCCAAUAUCACGUCGCCUUUGCAGCUGCUCGUUUGUUUAUGUAAGGAUGUUUUUUUCAUUAUUUCUUUUAAUCCGUUUAGAUCUUUCCCUGUCAGGUUUAUGGUUUUGUACUCGUUUAUUAUGAGUUCAACAAUGUGAUAGAGACCUUCUUUUUCUGGUUUUCAGAGGAACUGAUGCUAGAUGUUUAUGAACUGUUUUCUAUCCAUGUACUGUUAGUACGUAGGAGUAAAUUAAGAAACUGUUGCUGUUACGCAUGUGCUCAUCCUUCUCUGAUUUGUUAAUUUGAUACUCCCUCUUGUCAGAUAAGUUAGUUCUUGAUUUCAUGCUACUAGCAAACUGCAGCCUCUCAGACUAAGUUCUGUUGACAUGAUUCAUUUUAAAGCUUGUCGAUCCGUCAUUAGUUAUUCAGAUUUUACAGUCGCAUAAUUUUUCUAGUGUUUACAUGCAUGGUGUGGCUGAAAAGAAGUGUAGUUCAGUAAUAUCUGAUUACAUUCUUCAGGUAUAUCUGAUGUGAUAUUUAGGUACUUCCUCUGUUUCACAAUGUAAGAUUUGAUUUUCUAGCAUUCCCCAUAUUCAUUUAGAUGUUAAUGAAUCUAGACAUAUGUAUGUGUUUGAUUCAUUAAUAUCUAUAUGUAUGUGGACAAUGCUAGAAAGUUUUACAUUGUAAAACGGAGGGAAUAGCAAUGUCGAUGCAGUAUAUAUACCCCUAUCUGAUUAUACGAUGAAAUUGAGGAAUAACCUUGUGGCCCUGUAGUUUAUUAUAUUUCCCACUUCCAUCCAAUUCAUACGACAAAGUUGUUGCUGCUUUUCCAGCUGCUUUUUUGGCACAAAAGCGCAGUGAACACACUUUAAACUUAGCUAAGCUCUCAGUGUAGCAAUCGUCUCAUGCGGAACGGCAUAAAAGGCAAUGUUGAGAGUGCACGUAAGAUCGAUUAGAAGGAUCAAAAGAUAGUAGUAGAGACAAAAGAGUGCAUGACCAUUGUUCUGUGUGCUACAUAGUAUUUGCAGUGUCUGAACUUGAAAAGCUGAUCACAAGUGCCCAAAGGGAGACAGACAGACAGAUCCACAUCGAUCGCAAGUCUUUGCCUACGAUAAAGAUCUUAGUAAGCUUGGAAGAGAGCUUGCAGAAAGAGCAUCUCAAAAGGACGUACAAUUGGAGCAAGCGAGCUUUUCAUGUCGCCAUCUUUUUCUGACCUUCAUUUGUAAAGAAGUACUGUAAUUUUCUAGUGUAAUAAUGACAAUGCAAAUCCCAUUAUAU
Molecule: small RNA, 1743 nt
Filed under: Oryza sativa Japonica Group (Japanese rice)
Lineage: Eukaryota; Viridiplantae; Streptophyta; Magnoliopsida; Poales; Poaceae
Source: RNAcentral